This 1137-nucleotide long non-coding RNA is filed under the name Parus major (Great Tit). RNAcentral describes it as "lncRNA (ENSPMJG00000005932.1)". The record is from RNAcentral. Lineage: Eukaryota; Metazoa; Chordata; Aves; Passeriformes; Paridae.
AUGAAACUUUGCUUCGUAGAAUCUUUGCUGCACUCUAAGAAGGCUUUGCAGACAUUAGAGAACUCUGGUGUUUCCCCGCUGCCUUGGAGGGUGAGGCACAGGGGGCUCCCCGGGCGCGGUUUCCCGGCGGUGGAGGCUCGGUCCCGGCCCUGGGGCAGGGGCUGUCACCGCGCUCUGGGCAGCCUGGACUUUCUGUCUGAGUCGCCGCUCGCCAUGGCAGACCCAGCUCCGCUUUCAGGAACCAGCCACCAGAUUCUCCAUUUCAGCUGGCCCGGGGGAAUUUGCGCCGCGGGGCUUUUCCUCAGCCCGUUCCCCGUGCCCGCUGUCCCCUGCCCGGGACAGCGCCGGUGCCCCGAGCAGGGGAAGCCCCGCUCCCUCCGGCCCCCGGGCGCGGCUCGGGCUCCCCGCUCCUCCCGCCGGAGCGAGGCAGCAUCGCCGAAAUCCAGGCGAGCCUCCCGGCCGCAGCUCCGGUACCGCGGUGAGCGCCCGCCCGGGGCCGCCGGGCUCAGGUACGGGAGAGGCGGGGAUGGGGGAGGGAUGGAGGGGAGCGGGAGGGAUGCAGGGAUGAGGGGAGGGAUGGAGGGGAGCGGGCCCCGCUGCGGAGAACCGCCCGCGGCCCCCGGACCCUCGGGCCCGCUCCCCGAACCGCGGCCCGGGAGCGCCCGGGGGGCAGCGGGGACUGCCCGGGCUCCGGCCGCUCCCCGAGCCCUGGGCCGGGACCCCCGGGCGGUGCCGGGCGAGCGGAGCCGGGGCUGGGCCAGCGGGCGGGGGCAGCCCCAGCAGCCCCAGCAGCCCCCCGCGACACCUCCGGCUCCGUUCGGCUGUGUCUGCCGGCUCCGUGCGGGGCUCCGGCAGGUUGGGCGGUCACUGCGGAGCUCCCGCCCGGCUGCCUGCAGAAACCACGGGAACCGGCUGAGGAAGGCCAUGGAAAAGCCUGGAUGUUCCCAGAGCAGAGCCUCAAGCCCAGGGUGUGCCGUGCCCACCUCACGGCACUCACCGCCAGCCCGGCCUGCCCACCGCAGCCUGGGCUCUUUGAUUUUCACAUUUCUUAGCGUGACUGCUGGUGAUACUGACACAGGUUAUGCUGUGUCGGUAUUGCUAUGGGGACAUAAUAGCUUUAUGGAGGGAUUAUUAUAA